ACCAUAUCACAUUGAAACACUGAUUCUCAUAUGAUCACCAAAGUUAAGCAAUGUUGAGCCUGUUCAGUUACUAGAUGGGUGACCACUUAGGAAUACCACAUGCUGUAAG
Molecule: non-coding RNA, 109 nt
Organism: Acanthosepion pharaonis
Lineage: Eukaryota; Metazoa; Mollusca; Cephalopoda; Sepiida; Sepiidae
Source: the annotation of a GenBank genome assembly